Molecule: unclassified non-coding RNA, 526 nt
Filed under: Zea mays
Lineage: Eukaryota; Viridiplantae; Streptophyta; Magnoliopsida; Poales; Poaceae
Description: misc RNA Zm00001eb186020
Source: RNAcentral
AAAAAAAAAGGCACGCGCGGUGCACACACACAAUUACAGAAGAUAGAGGGCCGGGUCCGUUCUGACGACAUAAAAUAACAUAUUAAUAUAUCAGCCUAAUUAAACUGAAACAUCCUCUCCAUGAAACAAAAGGAGGUACGGUAAUGAGGGGGAAAAAACCAAUGCAAGAGAAGAGAAUCUGGCGGCUCCUUCAAACACUGGAAGUUAUUUGUAGAAAUUCCAUAAGAAAUAUGGUUCAAAAUUUCAGAGACAUGAGUUUGGGAACACUCUAUUAUAGGCCUUAUUCCGUUGUUGUCUACAUGCAUGCUGGAUCUCUGUUAUCUAACCUUGUUAAUUUUACACAACAGAGAUAUAUAUUAAACACUCUAGGCCUUAUUUGGGGGGUGCAUGAAUUUGGAUUUUGGAAGUUAGCUAAGGAAUGUACGCGCAUAAUUAACCUAGCUACCGAGCUACUAGUAUUGGUAGCUGGGAACCGGCAGUGUCGUCUGGUGGCACACUGCACUACACACAGCAGCAUCGAUCCAAG